Molecule: small nucleolar RNA, 128 nt
Organism: Acomys russatus (golden spiny mouse)
Lineage: Eukaryota; Metazoa; Chordata; Mammalia; Rodentia; Muridae
Product: small nucleolar RNA SNORA17
Exons: 1
Source: RefSeq, a predicted model, not a curated record
CCUGCCCCUACAAGUGUUGCAAGUAUGGCUGCUGUGUCACAUAUGUACCAGUAGAUGGCAGAGAGGAGAGAGUCUAUGUCUAAGCUCAGUGCUCUGACCUAUGGACAUCUGAUUAGCAGCCUACCAUU